Molecule: ribosomal RNA, 904 nt
Filed under: uncultured bacterium
Lineage: Bacteria
Description: bacterial SSU rRNA
Rfam family: Bacterial small subunit ribosomal RNA
Source: RNAcentral
CACAUGCAGUCGAACGAGAGAGAGGGAGCUUGCUUCCUCAAUCGAGUGGCGAACGGGUGAGUAACGCGUGAGGAACCUGCCUCAAAGAGGGGGACAACAGUUGGAAACGACUGCUAAUACCGCAUAAGCCCACGGGUCGGCAUCGACCAGAGGGAAAAGGAGCAAUCCGCUUUGAGAUGGCCUCGCGUCCGAUUAGCUAGUUGGUGAGGUAAUGGCCCACCAAGGCAACGAUCGGUAGCCGGACUGAGAGGUUGAACGGCCACAUUGGGACUGAGACACGGCCCAGACUCCUACGGGAGGCAGCAGUGGGGAAUAUUGCACAAUGGGGGAAACCCUGAUGCAGCGACGCCGCGUGGAGGAAGAAGGUCUUCGGAUUGUAAACUCCUGUUGUUGAGGAAGAUAAUGACGGUACUCAACAAGGAAGUGACGGCUAACUACGUGCCAGCAGCCGCGGUAAAACGUAGGUCACAAGCGUUGUCCGGAAUUACUGGGUGUAAAGGGAGCGCAGGCGGGAAGACAAGUUGGAAGUGAAAUCUAUGGGCUCAACCCAUAAACUGCUUUCAAAACUGUUUUUCUUGAGUAGUGCAGAGGUAGGCGGAAUUCCCGGUGUAGCGGUGGAAUGCGUAGAUAUCGGGAGGAACACCAGUGGCGAAGGCGGCCUACUGGGCACCAACUGACGCUGAGGCUCGAAAGUGUGGGUAGCAAACAGGAUUAGAUACCCUGGUAGUCCACACCGUAAACGAUGAUUACUAGGUGUUGGAGGAUUGACCCCUUCAGUGCCGCAGUUAACACAAUAAGUAAUCCACCUGGGGAGUACGACCGCAAGGUUGAAACUCAAAGGAAUUGACGGGGGCCCGCACAAGCAGUGGAGUAUGUGGUUUAAUUCGACGCAACGCGAAGAACC